CCAUCUCUGACUGUGCCACUGCCUCACGCAGUCUGGCAGAACAGAGAUAAUGAUGUCACAUGAUGCGUCAGUCAACAGGAAACAAACUGGAUCAUCAGUCUAUGCUAGCCACCCAAACUUCCCAUUAACAACAUGGAAGAGGCGAGUGUGUCCUGGCCUUACUUGCUGAUUUGAGCUGUGAGCUGCUGGACCUCAACGAGGAGCUGGGACUGUGCUGGAUCGUGGCACUGCUCUUUGGCAGGUCUGUGGCGACGCACAUCCAGUCGGGCCUGUGCCAAACUCAGACAGUGCUCGUUCUCUGUGGUAGCCACUUGGAGAUCCUCUCUGAUUCUCUGUUGGCCAGCUAUCUCAGAUGUAAUCUAAAGAAGACAGAGGUGUCACAUCAGGCAUAAAAUCAUCUGCUCUACCGUGGUCAGCUGAUCCUCCAUCUGGCUCUUGGCAGACUUGAUCUCCUGGACAUUAUGCUGAAAGGCUUCUGUUGUGGCCUGGAGCUGCUUCUGCAUGUCAGCAGCCGUCUGCUCG
This is a long non-coding RNA of Acanthopagrus latus (yellowfin seabream), 522 nucleotides long. RefSeq lists it as uncharacterized. The transcript is spliced from 3 exons. The record is from RefSeq and is a predicted model, not a curated record. Lineage: Eukaryota; Metazoa; Chordata; Actinopteri; Spariformes; Sparidae.